Molecule: ribosomal RNA, 156 nt
Filed under: Aspergillus calidoustus
Lineage: Eukaryota; Fungi; Ascomycota; Eurotiomycetes; Eurotiales; Aspergillaceae
Description: 5.8S ribosomal RNA
Source: RNAcentral
CAACACACAAGCCGGGCUUGAAGGGCAGCAAUGACGCUCGGACAGGCAUGCCCCCCGGAAUGCCAGGGGGCGCAAUGUGCGUUCAAAGACUCGAUGAUUCACUGAAUUCUGCAAUUCACAUUACUUAUCGCAGUUCGCUGCGUUCUUCAUCGAUGC